AUCACCUGGGGAUCUUGUUAAAAUGCAGGUUCUCAUUCAGUAGAUCUGGGGUGUGGGGGCAAGAAUCUGCAUUUUUGACAGGCUCCCAGAUGAUACCAA
Molecule: microRNA precursor, 99 nt
Filed under: Loxodonta africana (African savanna elephant)
Lineage: Eukaryota; Metazoa; Chordata; Mammalia; Proboscidea; Elephantidae
Description: mir-544 microRNA precursor family
Rfam family: mir-544 microRNA precursor family
Source: Rfam by way of RNAcentral